UGCUCUGCUACCUCAGUGGCUGCAGGGAUAAGAUGGGAUGCCAGCUGCUUAAGGGAAAUCAAUGCAAGUCCAUAUGCAAGGGGAAAGACAAGAUCCUGAAAUCCUAAAAGCACUCAGAUGAAUGCUCACCAGUGGGGGAAAAAACUUAGGGUGACCUUCACCACCAAGAAGACCAGCUGGAGAGGAUCAGUGGAGCAUCACUGGGAUUCAUGAAAUGGCUUCAUUAUCUUAUAGACAAGUAGGUCUUCCUCUCAGAAAUAAAAAGUGCCUGUGGAUACUGAAAACGUGACCACCACCAAAGUGUCCAAGAACCACACUCACAGAGACCAUAAAUGAUGGCUCCACACCUUUGUUGGAGCCUUGGGAAUAAUGCAAAUCAAGCUAGCCACUCUCUUCCACUGGCCUGCUGACUACAGAGGGAGCCCAGAGUGACCAGCUGGUUGGUUUAACUGCUCAGCACUGGAUCACAGGAGCAAGUAACUUUCCUUAAAGAACCCAUCUAAAGUCUGUUCAGGUUUCAGAAACUCGGUGACCAUACUUUGAUGACAAGCCAGAUGGCAGCUGUUCCCCAAGCCCGGUGCCAAGAAAGAUGAUUGGAGCUGCAAUUUACCUUCCGUGGUGAAGCUCAAUGCUGGAGCAUACCACAGCUGUGGAUUUGGCUGCUGCCAGUAGGUGUGUGCACAGUUGGUUUCCUCCCAAUUUGGAUUCAUCAGUUCUCCUACUGUUGAUGAUGAUGAGAAUGUCCCAAAUCCACCACUGGACAAAGAGAAACAGAGAAAGGAAAAUACAACCCAAAAGGUGUGGACUCAGGCAGCUAGGAACUGUAAGCUAAGAAAUAAAGCUUUUUGUGUUAAAAAAAAACCACAACCAAACAAAGCAAACAAAUCAUUCAAAAUCCCAGAAUAAUCCCACCCACUACCUUGUUCACAUUCUCUGCCAUUUCAAAUGGGUUUGCUUUUUUUGCUGGGUGUCGGAACUCAGGACAUCCCUUUGGGAGUCCAGAGUUGCCAGGACCCUUGCCAGGGGGCUCAGAGACCCUGGCACAGAGCCCGGAACACCAGUGGGUUCGAUUACGAACCAUGGAGCAAAUUGCCACCUUUACAUGAAGAGAUAAAAGCCACAGCAGUUUAAAUAGUGUAAGAAUAAAGUUAUCACAGGGUGUAAAUGUAGGUUUUGGAAUUUUUAGUAUAGGCGUUUUUGGGGACAAGAUGGAGGGAUUUGGGUGUGUCUAGCCUUUCUUCUUCCUCUUCUCUACCACCAUCUUCAGUGGUGAUGUUGGCACUUUUAGACUGGUUUAGAGUAGAAGCUCACUGUCUAACAUAGGUGAUAGGUAUUGGAAAAUAAUUGUAAACAUGUUACACGUAGUUUGUAGUAUGUAAAGAUAACACUGCCCUGGGGGCAGGCAGAGUGCCCCUGGCUGUCCUGCUGAGCAGAUCUCGGCUGGGCAGGAGGAAAAUUUUAUAGAUAAGAUACAAUAAACAAUUCAGAGACUGAAAACUGAAGAGCUUCGACUCCUCCUUUGAACGCGCGGGCUGGAGCUGAGACUUUUGACACAUCUCGGGGUCUCAAAACCCAGUGAACUUCCGAGAGCUGGGAUCUUUUAGAAGACCACACUCUGAACUCUGGCAUUCAGACUUGCUCCAAUCGUCCAUGGCAUUCAGCUUCCACUGCAACUUCUUUAGCCACCAUCAGCUCCUGCACUGCUUUCUAAGCAGCGGCAUCAUCAUUUGCCUGUAAAGCCAACUCUGUACUCGACAGUCAAGAAACAAAGAGCACAAACAAGCUUUCAAAUGUACUUCAUUUCAGAACAAAAAAAAAAAAAAAAAAAAAAAAGGAAGAGAAAAACACACCCCCACAAAAAUCAAGAAGCAAACACCAAGCUUUCAGGUGAAAAUGGCGUUUGCUUUGCUUGUUUAAUGAUGUAGUUAGUCACGUUUUUACCCUUCAUCUGAAAAGCAAACAAGAGCAUGUUUAGUUGUGGAGAAGCUUGUGCAGUCCUACUUUAACAAGAUUCCAACCCCUAAGCCUUUUCCCUGCAGUAAUGUCACAUCUCUGUGGAAGCUACAUGGAAAAUCCUUUAAAGAACGUGAGAAACAGGAGCCCAUGUAGUAGCUCACACCACCAGAAAUCACUUUGAACUGAUACACAGUAGUGGGCUGGUGUGAAAAUACUAGGUUGGGAAAUGAUGCUGGGGCCUGGAAAUGCCUCCAUCAGAGGGACAGCAGCUUCAGGCUGGAAAGCAAGCAGUUACCUCAUCAUCAUGAAACCACCUCGAGUCCUGAGUCCAUGAACCUGUUGGAAUGAGUCCAGAGGAGGCCACAAAGAAAAGGCAUGUGAAGGUGAUGAGGACAGAUCUUUUUGGAGCUGCUCAGCACUGGGGAAGGCACGAAGAUAGCAAAAAAAGCCAUGCACUGGGAUAACAGCAGUUCCAGAUGUGUGAAAAGCCCAGCUUGCAUAGAAAAAUAAGAAGAAGAACUUGGCAAAGUUACAAGAGAAGAUUACCUUAUGGAAGAUUACUUAGAGACAAGAGAAAGGGGAUAGUGAGAUGGUGAGGUGCGAGGCAGACUCAAGCUCACACACCUGUGGCCUUGUUGCAGCUUCUCAGAAGAUAAACAAUAAGGUGGGAUCAUGGAUAGAGAGAGUGAAGAGCAGUCUCUGCCAUGAUGAAGGCCAGUGAAGAUAAAGGAAUGAACCACAGAUGAUCUUCAUUGGUCCCUCCGUGACUGCUCUGCUGUGAUUUCUGUGACACGCAUGUACCAACAUAUUUGCCUGUUUAGGUUCCUGUACCACUCCUCCUCCUGCAGAAGCCAAACGCUUCUGGCAUCCUGACAAUUAUGUUUCUCUUCCAAUUUUCUAGGUCUUUCAAAAGAGCAAUCACCUUUCUGUUGCAGCUGCUGACCUCUUGCUUCUGCCUGUUUCUCCAUGUUUUACCAUCCACUUCAGAAAGGGGCUAGCAAUUAUGUGCCUGAUGUUUCCCUAACCCUGACCACCUUGAAAUGUGAUUUUGUGAUUUUUGUUGAAAUGUAGGACAUGGAUCCCUUGCAGGCUUUUACAAACAUGAGAGUUCCCAUGUGUCAUUGACACUGAUGAAUUGCUAGAUCACUACAGAACAACUUGGAAAUGGCAACGGAGCUGGCUCCACUGCAGCUAACUUGAGCUCCUGAGAGGGACCAGAGGGGUUUUUUGAUUCUCUUUAUUACGUGAUAUCAAUUAAGCAUUUAACAAGUUACAAUAAAAAGCAACUUUCCAAUGGAAUUUUUAAUGCAAUGAAAACAAAUUACCUUCAAGAUGGUUAUCAUUUGGAAUCUUGAAGAGAAUGAAAAUAAGGCAAAUGCCAACACAUAUUCAUCCAGAUUGCCCAUAACAACUUGCCAGGCAUCCCUGUUUCAAAUCAAGUAAAUCUGUGUAGCUUCUCUUUGACAGCAACACAAAAUCCCUUGUGAAAUGCAUUGAAUGGCACAGCUGAGGCAGAAUGUUAGCAGAAGAUACUGCGCCAAGCAGCUUUUGUUUUGAAGUGGGUACUUCUGUUAUGCAAUCCUCUUAGAAUUUGCUUCUUUCAAAGAAUGAAAGACCAAAAAAAAAAGCCUCAGCAAACAAAACCCACAAAUCCCAUACAUUUCUCAACUCGGUUGAUAUUUCUCCACUUGGACACAGUCUAUUCACAGCAGUUCCAAACUUCUGGCAUUGGCACAGACUAUAUUUGUCUGUGGUCCUUUACUCCAGCAUUCAGCUGGAGUAAAGGACCAAACAGUGCAUGAUGGCUGGGAUGAAGGUGUUCAGUGGAAGAGAGAGGCUUUAACUCUCUCAACAAGAAUGAUGCCCAUAAACAAAAAAUAGAAGCAGAAUUCACUAAUAUCAACAAUGUGCUUAUUAGGCACAUGAUAACUUUAACAACUCACUUUAAGCCUGAACCUUUCUGAGACUUUCUGUAGUCACAAGGAAGAUGAGACCAUGGACAGAACUCUCUUAAUAUGAAAACGUUAAUUUACUAGCUUAAGAUCUUGUCCACGUAAUUUUGCUUGUAUCCAAGAAAAGGAAACCUAAAACUUCUGAGCCCUUCCUCAAAGGCUCACUUGAGCAACAGGUAUGAGAGAGAAUGCAGCCAGUUGACUCUAUGUACCAUUCCUCACACAAAAGCCAUCCACAAAUGCACUCUCAGGCAUGAGAUGGGGAGAGUAAUAUACUUGAUCCUUUCUCUGCUUUCUUUGCCCUUGGGAGAAGUGGGGAAGGAGGCACGCAGUGGAGAGAAGAUGAGGUGUGGGCUGUGUUUCCUGUCCAUGAGGCACACCAAGGUGAACAGAGUAUGUGUGAGGGCAAAGCACUGCUCAUAAAAGUGGUCUGGGCUCUGCAGGCCACGUGUUUUGAGGGGAGAAACUGUCCCUCACUGAGCUCUCCCACAUUUGUACAACAUAUGACGACGUUACACUUUCGCAGCCUCACUCUACAUAUGUUUUCUCACUAGUGUACACAGUGUUACAGGCACUGUUCCUCCUCCCCCAAACAGAAGAUCUUUUCCUUUCACUCCGGCACAUUGUCAUGGCUGCAGAUCCCUGCUGCUCAUUUUGGGUGUAAUGUCCAUAUGCAAGCACUUCCAGAGAUGUGUUGCUGUCUUUGCAGUACAGGCAGAGAAUUAUCAUCUUUGUCCUCUCCCAUGACCAAUGCUACCUCCACACUGCACGUUUUUGGAGAUUACUUAUUUACUUGCUCCCUCUGCUCUCUGCAGAGUGUAUCCAACAUGUCACAGAGUAAGAAUACACUUGGUGCUUCCCCAAGACAAUAUUAACAGAUUUGGUAUCUUUCAUCUUCUCUGACCUUUUCCAUUAUGUUCUCAGAAGCUCAAAGUCUCAUGACAAUAUGGGCAAAAAACCCUCCAGUGCUCUGUGCACAUAAGUGGGCUUUCUCUUGUGUUGCACUCAAGUUCAGUUAGAUGUUCUUCAGCCUUUGAUCUCCUUUAAUCAGAAGAAGGAAGGAGGCUGAGGAAGGAGAAUAUGAGCUUUCUUUCAUGCUUGUUCUAAUUCUUAGGUCCAAUAAAGAGGACAGAACAAGGUUGCUCAGGGUAUUAAGUGCAAGACAAUCAAAGAAAUGACUGAAAGGAUUCUGCACCCUGCCAGCUAUCCUGAGCUUUGCCCUCACUCAUGUGGCUAAGCUUUGGGGAAGGAGGGCUUCUCUGUUAACAGGGGUUAGUGUCUUUCCUCUCCCACCCCUUUCUCUACCACCUCAUGCUCAUCUUUAUUAGCUUUUUCACACUACACAGUCCUCUCAUCGAUUACAAGGGCCAGCACAAAGCAGCCUAAUGAUGGGUCAGUCUUAAUGAGAAAAGCAGCUGCUUUUGAAGUGGUGUGGCUUCGUCCUGCCCCCUGCCGAGUCCUGGCACGCAGAGCUUUGCCUCCUUUUAGAGAGCAGAGCCAUGGAAAAUCAACAGUGAGCAGCCUGGUGCCUCUGAACAGAAAGGGCCAUGUGCAUGGCUAUUUAGUACUGUAAAAGAGAGAGCAUUUGCACAAACGGGAGGGAACAUAAGGAGGCCUUCAGAGAAGAAUGGGGCCUUGGCAAAUUUAUAGACUCCCCUGAAAGAAAGUGAUUACAGAUCAUUAUCCAAUUGAGGCAGAUUGAUGGGUUAGGGUCAAAGUAAUACUGCAGAGCUCACUGGAGGGACAAUGCCUGCUUGUCAGUUCUGUCCACGAAAAGAAAGAGAAGGGAAACUACCACACAGAGAGGAAAGGCUUAAGCUUUUCCAGCCCUUAUCUUAAAAAUCGUUUCUUAUCUUGAACGUAUCCUUUAAAUAAAAAAAAAUUUAAAAAAGGGAGAAAAAAAAAAAAAGCAAACAAACAAACAAACAAAAACCACCAUGGAAAAAACAUAACCCGAAAUUGCAGGACCAACAUUGCCGUGUUAAAAUUGUGCAUUUGGAAUUGUGAAAUAAUUGUCUGAAUAGUGUGCAAACAGCACACACCCAAAGCCUUGUGAUCAGAACUCUCAGAAAUCACUAGUACUAGCACUAGUAAAGGAUAAAUUGCAUCUUUUUUUCAUUUGUAUUAAAAACCCAAAGAGAUCUUCUAAAAUAAAUGUGUAUAAUUUUUUUCAUUUUGGUGAAAGAAGGACAUUUUGUUAACAGCUAUGGUUGAACUGAUUUGAAACUCUGCAACAUCUGGUCAGGCAAAACUCAGCAACACUGACAUUGAAUAAAACAAGAAUAAAUGUGUU
This is a long non-coding RNA of Serinus canaria (Common canary), 6201 nucleotides long. RefSeq lists it as uncharacterized. The record is from RefSeq and is a predicted model, not a curated record. Lineage: Eukaryota; Metazoa; Chordata; Aves; Passeriformes; Fringillidae. The transcript is spliced from 11 exons.